This 809-nucleotide small RNA is filed under the name Salmonella enterica. RNAcentral's name for it is "Enterobacterial sRNA STnc510". It matches the Rfam family "Enterobacterial sRNA STnc510". The record is from RNAcentral. Lineage: Bacteria; Pseudomonadati; Pseudomonadota; Gammaproteobacteria; Enterobacterales; Enterobacteriaceae.
GCACCUCCUGUUAUAUAUAAUGACUUGUGAAGUUCAUCUCCUGAAUUAUGGAACGUCAUUGACAUUUUUUAUUCAACGAAGAGUUAACCACUCUUAAUAAUAAUGGGUUUUAUAGCGAAAUAGACUUUUUUAUCGCGUGUUCAAUAUUUGCGUUAGUUAUUAUUUUUUUGGAAUGUAAAUUCUCUCUAAACACAGGUGAUAUUUAUGUUGGAAUUGUGGUGUUGAUUCUAUUCUUAUAAUAUAACAAGAAAUGUUGUAACUGAUAGAUAUAUUAAAAGAUUAAAUCGGAGCGGGAAUAAAGCGUGCUAAGCAUCAUCGUGAAUAUGAUUACAGCGCCUGCGAUGGCAUAUAACCGUAUUGCGGAUGGAGCGUCACGUGAGGACUGUGAAGCACAAUGCGAUAUGUUCUGAUUAUAUGGCGAGUUUGCUUAAUGACAUGUUUUUAGCCGAACGGUGUCAAGUUUCUUAAUGUGGUUGUGAGAUUUUCUCUUUAAAUAUCAAAAUGUUGCAUGGAUGAUUUGUUGUUCUAUAGUGGCUAAACACUUUAUGGUUUCUGUUAAAUAUAUAUGCGUGAGAAAAAUUAGCAUUCAAAUCUAUAAAAGUUAGAUGACAUUGUAGAACCGGUUACCUAAAUGAGCGAUAGAGUGCUUCGGUAGUAAAAAUAUCUUUCAGGAAGUAAACACAUCAGGAGCGAUAGCGGUGAAUUAUUCGUGGUUUUGUCGAUUCGGCAUAGUGGCGAUAACUGAAUGCCGGAUCGGUACUGCAGGUGUUUAAACACACCGUAAAUAAUAAGUAGUAUUAAGGAGUUGU